AAUAAUAAAGAAAGUUAAUUUUCGCUCUUAGAAGUUUGUAUCUCGUGUAUGGUAGUAGUUAGGAUUUAAAGCCUAACUAGCUAUAUGCACGUAGUCGUAACUGAAAGGUUGAUCGACCACAGUGGGCCUGAAUAAAGCCCAUGACGAUUGUCACAGCAGUGAGGAAUAUUGGUCAAUAGCCUAACGGCUGAACCAGCAACUUGGAGGAAUGUGAUGCAAGAUCGACUAUGUCGAAUAAAAUUCUAGGUAGAAUUAUGAUAAUGACAUUGUCUGCCUAGGUGUCUUGACCAAAUUACGUGCCAGCAGUCGCGGUAAUACGUAGAAGACUAGUGUUAUUCAUGUUUAAUCGGUUUAAAGGGUACCUAGACGGUAAAUCAAGCCUAAAAGGAAAGAAAUGAAGGGACUAAUUUACUAGAGUUACUUAUGAGGGGGUAUUAAAGUACUGCUGGUGUAGAGAUGAAAUUCUGUCAUACCUCUUUUCAAUAAUGUCAUAGAUUAGAUAUAUAAGUUUAUUCUAUAAAUGAAAGUGUAAGCAUUCCACCUCAAGAGUAAUUUGGCAACAUUGGAACUGAAAUCAUUAGACCGUUUCUGAAACCAGUAGUGAAGUAUGUUGUUUAAUUUGAUGAACUUUAUUCUAAUUUUCUACUUAAAAGAAAACAAUAACAAGAAAAAAGAGACAAGAAGAUAUAUUUACAAGCGUUGCACGGCUGUCUUCAGUUAAUGUCGCGAGACUAUGGUUAGUUCCAUUAAAUUAACGUAAACCCUUACUUUAUUUUUAUAUAGAGUAGUUCCCCGCUAUAUUGGAUAU
This 808-nucleotide ribosomal RNA is filed under the name Cetraria islandica. RNAcentral's name for it is "SSU rRNA". It matches the Rfam family "Bacterial small subunit ribosomal RNA", at positions 197 to 1164 of the family's 1533-position model. The record is from RNAcentral. Lineage: Eukaryota; Fungi; Ascomycota; Lecanoromycetes; Lecanorales; Parmeliaceae.